This 68-nucleotide transfer RNA is filed under the name Lepilemur septentrionalis (northern sportive lemur). RNAcentral's name for it is "tRNA-Asp". Lineage: Eukaryota; Metazoa; Chordata; Mammalia; Primates; Lepilemuridae. The record is from RNAcentral.
AGAUAUUAGUAAAAUAAUUACGUAACUCUGUCAAGGUUAACUUACAGGUUAAACACCUGUAUAUCUUA